ACAGGAUUCCGACCUGGAGCCAGUUACUGUGUGGCCGAGGUCUUUAACAACGUCAAUCAGGUAUGUAUUUUCUUUAAUAAUAAGACAUUAAUCAAUGCAUGUGACGAAUGAAAACAAGCACUAUUAAAGUCAACAAAAUAGAGCUUUCAAAAAUUACUGUAUAAGUGCGACAGAUCCUUAAAUAUACCUUAAGUGUAUAAAUGAUUGCAACUGCACUGAAUGUUAUAGUUUGCAUUAGUUUAUUUAACGCUAACAGCCUGUGUGUGGGUUUAUGAACAUGCUUUAUAAAAAAAGAAGAGGAGGAGGAUUUGAUUGGUUGGCACGUUGCCAGUGUAUUGUCAGUCACCGAGUGUAAACAAGACUCUGAUUGGCUGCUCGCCAGUCCUCAUUGGGCUAUCUGGAAAAAAAAGGAAGAAAUAACUGGAUCUGCGGUUUCAAGGCGUCCCAGGUUAGAAAUGAUGAAAACAGAUAAGAAGGAACUGUUUCAAGGCGCUCCAAAAGGCGGACCCUCUGUGGCCCUGGAGCCGUACUCGGAGGACGCGAGAAGAAGUAGAGAAAGAAAUGUUCGAUGUGCUGAAGGAUUCAAAUUUGUUGCGCAGUAUCUGGAACAGAUAAACAUGAAACAGUCACAUGGCGGAUCUCGGAGCACAACGCAUGAAUUAUGUACAGAAUUGUAGUGAAAAUAUAUGUAGAUACAGAAUGAGCAAUUUAUGUAUAGAAAGUAGAAAAUAUCAAGAGAAUGACAGGUCUCUGAUUGACAGUCCAGCUCUGUCUCAAGGAAGCAAGAACUGAUUCUCUGAAACACAAAAGGGUUUGUGUGUGUGUGUGUGUGUGUGUGUGUGUAAACCACACUAUAAAAUUUAUAUACCAAAUGCUUUUUACAAAUCACUCAUUAAGAUAUAAUAAUAAUAAUAAUAAUAAUAAUAAUAAUAAUAAUGCUACAUCAUGCAAUAGGUCCACCUUGGAAAUUGAGCCCGAACAUUGUUUUACAUUUUGAGUUUAUGCAAAACAAAUGCAAUUAUUUUUAUCAAAUAAAAUAAAAAAACCUGCUUUGUCUGUCUUUGCU
Cyprinus carpio (common carp) is the source of this 1066-nucleotide long non-coding RNA. NCBI's taxonomy places the organism in Eukaryota, Metazoa, Chordata, Actinopteri, Cypriniformes, Cyprinidae. The record is from Ensembl.